GGAGUUAGCCGGUGCUUCUUCUGCGAGUAACGUCACAGAUGUAAGGUAUUAACUUACACCCUUUCCUCCUCGCUGAAAGUGCUUUACAACCCGAAGGCCUUCUUCACACACGCGGCAUGGCUGCAUCAGGGUUUCCCCCAUUGUGCAAUAUUCCCCACUGCUGCCUCCCGUAGGAGUCUGGGCCGUGUCUCAGUCCCAGUGUGGCUGAUCAUCCUCUCAGACCAGCUAGGGAUCGUCGCCUAGGUGAGCCUUUACCUCACCUACUAGCUAAUCCCACCUGGGCUUAUCCAUCAGCGCAAGGCCCGAAGGUCCCCUGCUUUCCCCCGUAGGGCGUAUGCGGUAUUAGCAGUCGUUUCCAACUGUUAUCCCCCACAAAUGGGCAAAUUCCCAGGCAUUACUCACCCGUCCGCCGCUCGUCAUCUUCAAAAGCAAGCUUUUGAAAUGUUACCGCUCGACUUGCAUGUGUUAGGCCUGCCGCCACGCGUCAUCUGAGCAUAAUACAACUACUACGA
This 512-nucleotide ribosomal RNA is filed under the name uncultured bacterium. Its description in RNAcentral is "partial 16S ribosomal RNA". The record is from RNAcentral.